Molecule: ribosomal RNA, 505 nt
Filed under: uncultured bacterium
Lineage: Bacteria
Description: partial 16S ribosomal RNA
Rfam family: Bacterial small subunit ribosomal RNA
Source: RNAcentral
GACGAACGCUGGCGGCGUGCCUAAUACAUGCAAGUAGAACGCACAGUUUAUACCGUAGCUUGCUACACCAUAGACUGUGAGUUGCGAACGGGUGAGUAACGCGUAGGUAACCUGCCUGGUAGCGGGGGAUAACUAUUGGAAACGAUAGCUAAUACCGCAUAAUAUUAAUUAUUGCAUGAUAAUUAAUUGAAAGGUGCAAUUGCACCACUACCAGAUGGACCUGCGUUGUAUUAGCUAGUAGGUGAGGUAACGGCUCACCUAGGCGACGAUACAUAGCCGACCUGAGAGGGUGAUCGGCCACACAGGGACUGAGACACGGCCCAGACUCCUACGGGAGGCAGCAGUAGGGAAUCUUCGGCAAUGGACGAAAGUCUGACCGAGCAACGCCGCGUGAGUGAAGAAGGUUUUCGGAUCGUAAAGCUCUGUUGUAAGAGAAGAACGGGUGUGAGAGUGGAAAGUUCACACUGUGACGGUAUCUUACCAGAAAGGGACGGCUAACUACGUG